This 253-nucleotide ribosomal RNA is filed under the name uncultured bacterium. RNAcentral describes it as "partial 16S ribosomal RNA". It matches the Rfam family "Bacterial small subunit ribosomal RNA", at positions 524 to 776 of the family's 1533-position model. The record is from RNAcentral.
UACGGAGGGUGCAAGCGUUGCUCGGAAUCAUUGGGCGUAAAGCGCACGUAGGCGGCCCGGUAAGUCGGAUGUGAAAGCCCUCGGCUCAACUGAGGAAGUGCAUUCGAAACUGCCAGGCUUGAAUAUGGAAGAGGGUCGCGGAAUUCCCGGUGUAGAGGUGAAAUUCGUAGAUAUCACUUGGAACGCCAAAGGUGAAGACAGUCUGCUGGGGAUCUGCUGACGCUGAGACACGAAAGCCAGGGGAGCGAACGGG